This 531-nucleotide ribosomal RNA is filed under the name Triticum aestivum (bread wheat). Its description in RNAcentral is "partial small subunit ribosomal RNA". The record is from RNAcentral. Lineage: Eukaryota; Viridiplantae; Streptophyta; Magnoliopsida; Poales; Poaceae.
AUGGAUAAUUGCAACUGCACUGUGUUCAACUGGAAUGUGAGAGGACUAAAUAAUCCGACUAGGAGGAAGGUAGUUCAUGAUCUAGUACUACAGAACAGAGCUUCAAUAGUCUGUCUGCAAGAGACUAAGUUGGCACUGAUUGAUCGCCAGAUUGUCACGGAAACCUUGGGCGCAGCGUUCUGUGAUAGCUUCAGAUUUUUGCCAGCCAAUGGAACUCGAGGAGGCUUGCUUCUUGCCGUCUCUCAGGAUUUUUUCAUGAUUGACAGCCACGUUUUCUCUGAAAAUGCUAUCACUGCAAACAUUGUCAUGCGAGCAAACGGCUCCAAAUGGAGUCUCUCUACGGUCUAUGGACCGCAAUCUGAUCAGGAGAAGUUUCUUUUUAUCAAUGAGCUCAAGAGCAUCAAGCCUUCUACUCUUCCCUGUUGGCUUGUGAUUGGCGAUUUCAACCUGUUGUAUCGGGCAUCAGACAAGAGCAACUCCAAUAUCAACCGACGCCUGAUGAACUCCUUCCGAGCUGCCGUAAACUCACUG